GUGGUAUUUCUGUUCUUCUAAUGGCGAUUAAAAUGAUUAAGAAUGAAAGAAUUGAAUUUUGAAAUUACAGAAGCAAACAAUGAAGUGAAUGGCCUUAAGGUUGUGUUUCCUCUAUGACAUGGUGGUGGUAGUGCAUUCAGGAGGAAGGCCCUGUGGGAAUCGCUUGGUGUCAGAGCAGUAAUUGUAGAUCAUGUAAUUCUUCUGCACCCAUUUCAUUCUCUCUUGGCUUGUGGAAUCAAGCUCUUGUGAGUACCACUCUGUAUUGGUGGAGGUAGAAGUGGGAGUAUUUGAACUGCAAGAAGAAGCUCCAGAAGACCAGAUGCAAGCAUCUGCAUUGAAGUUCCUAUAGGAAGCAGUGAAGGGAGCUUGGCUCCAGUCUGUCUUGACAAGCCCACCUCUUGUUGCCCAGUCAUCUGCAUUCCAGAGACUGGAGUAUAUCCUCAUGGGCUGGUUCUUUGGGUAUGAAACACCGAUUGACUCAGAGUUCUUGAACUCCCUGAUGGGGGUGCCAUCCACAGAGAAGCUGAAACAGAGAUACCCCAGAUGAGUAAAUCAAUACAAAAACCCAAAAAACAUAAACCAGAUUGCAGUAUUGGAGAUUAGAAUAAUAGCACUUACAUAAUCCGCUGGGGAUUCCAAAGUAUGGAAUAGGUAUGGAAAUCAGCAGUUGGGUCAAACCAAAGGUAGAACUGCUGUUCUCUGUUUCCCUUGCCUUGGCUGAACACAUUAGUGUGAAGAAUGUAUGGAUCACCACUGAGAUUGCCCAGGAAUUCGAAGUCGAUUUCAUCAUGGGUUGGCCCUUGUGAAGAUAACUGCAAAUACACACAUACAUAAAUAAGAACUAUAUACUAAUCAGGAGAACAAAUUGUCAUCAAAUGGAGGAUGAUGUGCAACAAGUACUAUGAAAGGCGGGCUUACAUAAUAGGCAGUGACAGUGCCAGCAGAGUUUCCAGGAACAAGUUUGAGCUGCAUAUCAAUCUUGCCAAACAGAUACUCGUUCUUGGACUGGAAACCAGAUCCAGAGGUCUUGUCAAGGGAAAGAGUGAGAAGCUCUCCAUUGUUGAGUAUCUUAGCACGCCCGUCUCCCCAAGUGAUGUCAAAGUCUUGGUAGAAGUUACCUGCUGAGGCAGCCAUUAAGAAGCUCGCCACUACAGAGAUUAGCAGGGCUGUUGAAACAACUGAAAAAGAAGAAUAGAUGGGUGCCAUUGGCGGAUACGCUGUAUGGUUGGUCAGAGGUGUUUGAAGAGAAGAAGUUUGAAUUUAGUGACUUGAAAUUGAUCUCUCAGAGCUCCAAUUUAUACUUGGUGGGAGAGAUAUAGUGAGAUUGAGAGGGUACUGCUGGGAAGGUUCAAAGUGGGAGAACAAAGAAUGAGUUGUAUACAGAUGGCAGUGACAACCAUAUCUACAAAUGGGCUUCCACCUCCCCCCUAAUACUUUUUAAAUCAUCAGAAUCACACGGUUUUGCAAUAGAAAAGUAUUCAGGAAGUACCAUAGUUUUUAACUUCUGCCGCGUCUACCUGUCUCCCCCCCACCUCCCCCACCUCCCCCCAAAAUUGCUUUUGUCCGUUUCCAAUAUAUCAAACAGUUCAACAAAAAACAGCUCUCCAGUGUAAAAAUGUGCUGGACCAGAGCUUCCUACAUACAUCACUCCACCCACUGUCUUUCUAUGUCUAGAAAUCCUAAAUGCCAAAACAGGGAGAGAAAGAUAAGUAGCACCUGCCCAAGCCAUCAUCAUGCCCAGUUGUAAUAAAAAACAGCCCACCGUCUUUCGAAGUGCUUUUAUUGGAAACGUUCUUUCUAAAAGUACUUUUUGGGAAAAUCACAUGAAAAUGAUUUUUUAAUUUUUUAAAAGUGAUUUCUAAAUUUUAUCAAAUAUUUUAUUUUUUUCAAAAAUACUUUUAAAUUAGAAAUAAUAUUUAAAAAUAUUAUCAAACAUACACUUUAAGUUUUGACACUACAUCUUUUUUUUUUUUUUUAGAAUAUUGCUAUCUUUUAUAAUUAACUACCAUCUUUUAUAUUUUAGAGUAUUAACUUUUUAUUAUAUCUAUUGUUUUUAGAUUUAUAAGUCAUUAUGUACAAGUACUAUAUGAUACAAAUAUAAUAUUUUUUAUAAAUUAAUAAAUAUUUAUUUAUCAAUAAAUUAAUAAAUUAUUCAUUUAUAAGUAAAUCAACAAUUUAUUAAGAUUAUGUUUGGUUUUUGGAAAAUACUAAGGAAAGAAAAAAAAUGUAAAGGAAAAUAAUUUUUUCAUGUUUGAUUGUCUUAUAAAAAAUAUAAAAGAAAAUCAAAUAUAAUUAAAACUAAUUAAAAACUUAUAUAUUUUUAAAUUAUUUAAUUUUUAUAUUGAUGAGUUAAAAUAAAUAAAAUGAGUUUGAAGUAACAAAAAAAUAAUUUAUCAACUUUUAAUUUAUUUUUUUAUUUUUAUUCACUUUUUCUUUCCUUUUACUUUUUCUUUGUAUUUUCUUUCCCGUUUUCUUCAAAUUUUAUGGAACCAGGUGAUAAUUUUUCUUGGUCUCAAGAAUAGGGUUCUUAUUGAAGUUUUAAAAAGCAUACUACAAAAUUCACAGGUGGCUUAGUAUUCAUGAAUCAUAUCUCUUGUAAUAGUAACUAAUAAUCAAUCUAUCUUUCAUCAGAGAGUGAAUCAGACUCAAAAGCCAGUGAGGGAAAUGAUUGCUUUUAUGGCCAAUUAACUAUAGGGAUCAUGGAUUUGGGGGAGAAGGUUUCAUUUAGGUUAAUUUGAAACAUUGGUGAUUUUUGAUUUGUUUGUUUGCCGCCUUCAUCAUGCAUGGAGCAUUUUGAAUGAUUCAGUGCAUAGUUUUGGUGACUCUUAACUGAAGUUUCUUGCUGUUUGUGAUUGAAGUGGAAAGAAAUUAAGAUUAUUUACUCUUUAAAUUUGGUGUAAGGCCCAAUCCAUAUCUGUCAGAAGUUAAAGAACAAGCAGAAACAGAGAAAGGGCUAGAAGUUACAUUGACAAUGGUUCAUCUCCUCAGUUAUUUUCAACAAUUUUCUUUUCUUUGUCAUUCGUAAAGAAUAUUUUAUUAUUUGUAUUGUGCCAUAUAUUACAAUGUAAACAAUAUAAUAUUUCUGCUGUUGUAAUAGCAACUAAAAUGAUAAAGAAUGAAAGAAUAGAAAUGAAGAAAAUUUCAAAAGCAAACUAUCUGAUUGAAUGGGCUUAGGUUCCAUUCCUUCUAAGACAAGGUGGUGGCAGUGCAUUCAGGAGGAAGGCCUUGUGGGAAUCGCUUUGUAUCUGUGCAGUAAUUGUAGAUCAUGUAAUUCUUCUGUACCCAUUUCAUUCUCUCUUGGCUUGUGGAAUCUAGCUCUUGUGAGUACCACUGACCACUGGUGGAGGUAGAAGAGGGAGUAGUUGAACUGCAAGAAGAUGCUCCAGAAGACCAAAUGCAAGCAUCUGCAUUGAAGUUCCUAUAGGAAGCAGUGAAGGGGGCUUGGCUCCAGUCUGUCUUGACCAGCCCACCUCUUGUUGCCCAGUCAUCAGCAUUCCAGAGGCUGGAGUAUAUCCUCAUGGGCUGGUUCUUGGGAUAUGAAACACCUAUGGACUCAGAGUUCUUGAACUCUCUGAUGGGGGUGCCGUCCACUGAGAAGCUGAAACAGAGAUACCCCAGAUGAUUGAGCCAAUUAAGAAACCAAAAAAAAAAAAAAAACAUAAACCAGAUUUCACUAUUGGGGAUUAAUUACUGUACUACUUACAUAAUCCGCUGGGGGUUCCAAAGGAUGGAAUAGGUGUGGAAAUCAGCAGUUGGGUCAAACCAGAGGUAGAAUUGCUGCUCUCUGUUGCCCUUGCCCUGGCUGAACACAUUAGUGUGAAGAAUGUAUGGAUCACCACUGAGAUUCCCCAAGAAUUCGAAGUCUAUCUCAUCAUGGGUUGGCCCUUGUGAAGAUAGCUGCAAUUACACAAACCAGAAUGGUGAUUUGUGAGUCAGGAGAAGAUGAAACCAAGAAAGCAUUUGAUGGAAAAGCACUUGGUAAAGAGGAGGCUUACAUAGUAGGCAGUGACAGUGCCAGCUGAGUUACCAGGCACAAGCUUCAGCUGCAUAUCAAUCUUUCCAAACAGAUACUCAUUCUUGGACUGGAAGCCAGAGCCAGAGGUUUUGUCAAGGGAGAGAGUGAGAAGCUCUCCAUUGUUGAGUAUCUUGGCACGGCCAUCACCCCAAGUGAUUUCAAAAUCCUGGUACAAGUUACCAACAGAAGCAACCACAAAGGAACCGAGCAGAAGAGAGACCAAGAACAACUUUGGUGAAAGAUUCCAAGUAGAAGGAGAAGCCAUUGAAUGUGAAUUUAGAGACGAGAAAUGGAAGUAGUUUUGAGCGUGGAAGUGAAGAGAAUGGCGUGGGUAUGUGGGGGUUUUAUAGUAGGUGUCGUGGGGGAAAGUGGAAGGAGAUCGAGAAGAAGGUUCAGUCAGCAGCUGUACACGGUUGAAGAUGUAAAGACAACAGUUGUCAUCAAAUAGCAAAACCCAGUUCAUUUUCACGCGGAUUUUGCAUGGAUUUAAAAGAGAAAAGUGCAGAUCCACUUUCCCAUUUCCCAAGCACCAUUCAUCGCUCAUAACUAAAGCCACCACCGCCACUGAGUAAAAAACAAAAGCGAAUCAAACCCUUGAAACCGUGUCUCUCAUUAUUAUUUUUCAUCUCCAGUUGUAUCCGAAAAAGAAUCACCAAGCCCACAAAUAAAGUCAUAAUAGUAGGAGCCAGUAACAGCCCAAAAGCUCUGUGCUUCGAUGAAACCACCAUCUACUUGGUUUCCUGAAAAGAACUACUCACUGCCCUCUGCUCAACUAAUUUUUAAUUGUGAUGGGUUGGCUUAGAGUUUAAAUUUUAAAACUCAUGGAUCAAGGGGUGGGCCAUGUGCUUGAAGGCUUAAACCAACUGGUUACGAUAUUUCUUUUGGACAAUGUUAGAAUAUCUUAUACUAAUGCGGUGUUUGUUUUUUUACUUAAUUUUAAAUAGAAUCUUAAUACUUAAUAAUGUUAAAUAUUAAAUUAUUUAUUUUUAUAGUAUUUUAUUUUUAUUAAGUAUUAAAAAUUAAAAAAAAAUCAAUAUAUUAUUUUUUUUAUUUAAAAAAAACUACAUAUUUUUUAUUUAGUAAAAUGUUUAUAAUAAGUUAUGAAAAAAUAGAAAAUCAAACAACCUAAAUUUUGAAAACAAAUUACUUUUAGUAAAAAAAAAAAAAAAAAAUACCACCUAAGUAUCUUACUUCUUGAGCCAUUAUUUUGAUGACGUUGACAUUGUUACAAUUGCCAAUAGCUUUUUAUAUGGUUCAAGUCAAACCAACAGGUCACAAAUCAACACAAUUUAAGCAUUAUUCAAAACUGUUUUAAGGAUAGAUUUUCAAAACUCUUCUAUAAAGAAUAAAAAUUUGUUUGAGAAUUUAAAAUAUUUUUUUUAUAACUUUCAAUAUUUUAAAAAUAAUUUAUUUUUAAUCAUUAUUUAUAUUUGUAUAAUUAUUUUUUAAAAUAAUUUUUGAAAAAUAAGCCAAAACAAUUGAAAUAAUUAAAAGAUAUUAUUUGAAACCAAUUUUUAGAAAUAUAAAACUAUCUUUUUUUAAUAUUUGGUUGUUAAACAUGUUUUCCUCUUCUUUUUUUAUUUUUAUUUUUUUUUAUCAUGGAAACAUAAAACCAUUUUAAAAAGUAAUUUCCAAAUAAUACCUAAAUCUUGGGUGACAACAUUAUGUUUACUAAUUUCGGUAGGGAAAGGAGGGCAGCUGUUGAAAAAGAGGUCAUAUUUUUUAUUUUCCUUAUUAUUUUUCAAAACCAAAUAUAAUGUAGAAACAAUAGUAUUGUGAUUUCACUCUCUUCGUUACUUUGUGGGGUUCAACAUUGAGGUUGAGAUAAUGAUAUACAUGCCAUUCAUUGAGAAAGUAAUCUUUGUUGUAUUCAUGUAUUACAUUGUCAACAAUGUGGUGUUUCUGAAAUUCUGAUGGCAACAAAAACGAUAAAGAAUGAAAGAAUAUAAUUUUGAAAUUAUAGAGGCAAACAACGAAGUGAAUGGCCUUAGGUUCUGUUCCCUCUAGGACAUGGUGGUGGCAGAGCAUUCAGGAGGAAGGCCCUGUGGGAAUCUCUUUGUGUCUGCGCAGUAAUUGUAGAUCAUGUAAUUCUUCUGCACCCAUUUCAUUCUCUCUUGGCUUGUGGAAUCUAGCUCUUGUGAGUACCAUCCCCCAUUGGUGGAGGUAGAAGAUGGAGAGGUUGAACUGCAAGAAGAUGAUCCAGA
This 6219-nucleotide long non-coding RNA is filed under the name Vitis vinifera (wine grape). RNAcentral's name for it is "long non-coding RNA (VVIN_LNC003609)". The record is from RNAcentral. Lineage: Eukaryota; Viridiplantae; Streptophyta; Magnoliopsida; Vitales; Vitaceae.